Molecule: long non-coding RNA, 472 nt
Organism: Aegilops tauschii subsp. strangulata
Lineage: Eukaryota; Viridiplantae; Streptophyta; Magnoliopsida; Poales; Poaceae
Source: RefSeq, a predicted model, not a curated record
CCUCCAGGUGUUGCUUGGCCUGGUCAACGCCUCGGCUUCGACCAUCUCCGGUUUCUUCUCCACUCCGCCUGAUUUUUUCGUCGCGAUACCCAACGUUAUCGGAGUUCCGGUCCUACUGGCACAGUUUGUGGUCUACGUGAUGCACUGCAACCCUCAGCCAGAGCUCAACCCACAGCCGGAGCCCAACCCUCCUCCGCCGGAGCAGGAGCGCGGCCCUAUCCACACCGUCGACGUGCCCGUCCACACCGCCGAUGUGCCAAACUACGCGGCGGAUCUCCACACACUCUUCACAUGCCAGGUGUAGGCAUAGAGCACCAUCCUACUUCCUUCAUGAAAAACUUUCUUGAUGCUAUGCGGCUGACUAUUUAUGAGCUCAUGCUGUUAUGAGAUUAUCAUUGCACUGCCAGUUUUGUAAUAAUACUACUAUUUGUUUCACCGAAUACUAUAUAUGAUUAGUCUCAAGCUAUUUCUA